UGAAGUAUUCACCCGUCUAUAAAAUUAACUUGAUCUCGCCAAAAAUUUAUCAGUGAUAACUUCGCCGUGACAGUCAACCCAUCCUGAGCAAAAAGAAACUUACUUUUAAAAGAAAGAUUCCCGACACCAUGAAGACGACUACCCUGCUUCUUGUCAUUCUUGUUGUCGUCACAACUGUUGCAUACGGUCAACUAAUUGGCUUCUGCGGACGGAUGGAGUGGGCCUGUAACCGUGACGAAGGCUACAACGUGGAAUGCACUGAAUUGCCCUACCUGGCAACUUGCCGCGAAUCUGACACUAACACUAACACUACUUUUUUCUACAGCAUGUGCACCAACUAUUUUCACUGUGUUUAUGACAACGUCUUGGGUCUCCGCACUUGCACAUGCGUGUUAUAGUAAAGUUACAGAAGUUACAGUUGAAUAUUUAUCAUGGUUAAAGACUUUCAUGUUAAAUUAAAAAAUAAAUAAAUGUGAAUUGUUAUACACA
Molecule: long non-coding RNA, 489 nt
Organism: Folsomia candida
Lineage: Eukaryota; Metazoa; Arthropoda; Collembola; Entomobryomorpha; Isotomidae
Exons: 3
Source: RefSeq, a predicted model, not a curated record